This 1053-nucleotide long non-coding RNA is filed under the name Chrysemys picta bellii (western painted turtle). RNAcentral describes it as "lncRNA (ENSCPBG00000006183.1)". Lineage: Eukaryota; Metazoa; Chordata; Testudines; Emydidae. The record is from RNAcentral.
ACGUGCUGGCUCGGCUCCUGGACGGCCCGUGUGGCAGGCUGACGACAGAACUCCCCGCGGCCCCUGAGGAAGCAGCAGGAGUUGAAAUCCACACGCUGCUUGGGAACGCUACCCUAGUUUUUUACAGCUUGCUUGAAAGUAUAAGUGGUAAUGACAAGAUGCUGCUCCAGCCGCAGGACGUGACGUCAGAUCAAGGAGGAGCUGCGGCGCCAGCCCUGGGAAAAGGUGUUGUCCUGGGUGGAGCAGAGUAAGUGGUUGGGGGGCGUCAUCCCAGUUCCCGAGCUCCCUGUUGCGAGGCACACAGUUCAGCUCUCCAGUGCUCCGUGGGACCAGGAGCCUCGCUGCUUACCCAGAUCUUUCUCCCCUUUGUUUCAGCCCGUUGGCUCUGGACCAGCACCCUGUAGGAGGAGGGCACAGCUCCCAUGCUGUCCCGCUAACCCAAGGCUGGCUGAUGAGCGCAGGAGGGGAGCUGAGUCCCAGGUCCGAGCCUGGCAGUGCCGGGGCCAAGAGGAGAGCCCCCAGGGUCCUGUUUACUCAGCAGGACGAGCAGCACAACAGACAGGUGCUGAACCAAGGCGUAUGCAGAGGCCAGGUGCCGUGGGGCCUGUACCAGGUAGGUGAGCCUGCUCUGAGACACCAGCCAAGACUGGAGGAAUGGCUGGAAUCACCUGCUGGCAAUGGAAGCUACCAGUGGACACCUCCCCUGAUGUCCCUCUGCUUCCUGCACUGGCACUGAGCUGCUCUCGCUCACGGCCUCUAGCCAUUGGCAAUGGGAGGGGCAUUUUCCCUUCAUCUGGGAGAUGGGGUGGGCAGAGAUGCCCACCAUUUAAAUGGUGGGGAAGAGGAAUGUCAAACUGCUCACACUCAGAUCUGAGCAUGAUAAUCUCUCCGGGCAGCUCCCACCCAGCUCCUUGGGUCAAUGGCCUUGAACCAAACAGCAGAUGAGUGAGUGGGGCCCAUCAGCUCAGAUAGGCCAGUCUAGAAUGUGUCUCGCCCUUUCUUCGGAGCAUCUCCAAAUACCUCCCAAAUCCUCACACCUCCAGGGAGACAGAU